Long non-coding RNA from Tupaia belangeri chinensis (Chinese tree shrew), 398 nucleotides. RefSeq lists it as uncharacterized. The record is from RefSeq and is a predicted model, not a curated record. Lineage: Eukaryota; Metazoa; Chordata; Mammalia; Scandentia; Tupaiidae. The transcript is spliced from 3 exons.
CCACGGCAGAAUCAGAACAGGUCUCUGGCCAUCAGAUCACUCUUCUUUCUGCCCUGGAAGGGGUUCCUGUUUAAUUGCAACAGCACAUUUUACUCUUCAGAUUUUUUCUUUUCAUAAGCACCUACUAUUUGGAAGGAAGAAUGGUAGCGGCAACUGCAUAUGAACUAUUCUUCCAAUAAGAUUAGGAAAAGUGACUCAUGUAUACAAAUAAUUCAAUACAAGAAGCCAAAUACCUCGUCUAGUAAGAGCCCUAAAUAUGAAGACAUUACUCCUUCAAAUGGUGGACUCUUUAAUGGGUCCUGGAAAGCAUUCCCAACUGGCUGGUGAAGGAAGGAUGUCUCCCAGAUCUCCAUCAUGUGACCAAAAAGCACUUAAGUGAAUGUCUCUUGCCUGCAAGG